GGCGGACGGGUGAGUAACGCGUAGGCAACCUGCCCCAUACAGAGGGAUAGCCUCGGGAAACCGGGAUUAAAACCUCAUGACACCGAGGAUCCACAUGGAACUUCGGCCAAAGAUUCAUCGGUAUGGGAUGGGCCUGCGUCUGAUUAGCUGGUUGGUAGGGUAACGGCCUACCAAGGCGACGAUCAGUAGCCGACCUGAGAGGGUAAUCGGCCACAUUGGAACUGAGACACGGUCCAAACUCCUACGGGAGGCAGCAGUGGGGAAUAUUGCACAAUGGGCGAAAGCCUGAUGCAGCAACGCCGCGUGAGCGAAGAAGGCCUUUGGGUCGUAAAGCUCUGUCCUUGGGGAAGAAACAAAUGACGGUACCCGAGGAGGAAGCCCCGGCUAACUACGUGCCAGCAGCCGCGGUAAUACGUAGGGGGCGAGCGUUAUCCGGAAUUAUUGGGCGUAAAGAGUGCGUAGGUGGUUUUUUAAGCGUGGGGUGAAAGGCAAUGGCUCAACCAUUGUAAGCCUUGCGAACUGGAAGACUUGAGUGCAGGAGAGGAAAGCGGAAUUCCUAGUGUAGCGGUGAAAUGCGUAGAUAUUAGGAGGAA
This 593-nucleotide ribosomal RNA is filed under the name uncultured bacterium. RNAcentral's name for it is "bacterial SSU rRNA". It matches the Rfam family "Bacterial small subunit ribosomal RNA", at positions 97 to 706 of the family's 1533-position model. The record is from RNAcentral.